CGGGUGAGUAACACGUUGGAAACCUGCCCCAAAGUAAGGGAUAAGCCACCGAAAGGUGGUCUAAUACCUUAUAGUAUCCAUCUCGUAUGGAUUAAAGCUUUAUGCGCUUUGGGAGGGGCCUGCGUUUGAUUAGCUAGUUGGUGAGGUAAAAGCUCACCAAGGCGACGAUCAAUAGCUGGUUUGAGAAGAUGACCAGCCACACUGGGACUGAGAUACGGCCCAGACUCCUACGGGAGGCAGCAGUAAGGAAUCUUCCACAAUGGGGCAACCCUGAUGGAGCAAUACCGCGUGCAGGAUGAAGCGUUUCGGCGUGUAAACUGCUUUUAUCACCGAAGAUUAUGACUGUAGGUGAAGAAUAAGGACCGGCUAACUACGUG
This 377-nucleotide ribosomal RNA is filed under the name uncultured bacterium. Its description in RNAcentral is "bacterial SSU rRNA". It matches the Rfam family "Bacterial small subunit ribosomal RNA", at positions 103 to 507 of the family's 1533-position model. The record is from RNAcentral.